Molecule: ribosomal RNA, 120 nt
Filed under: Streptomyces rubellomurinus
Lineage: Bacteria; Bacillati; Actinomycetota; Actinomycetes; Kitasatosporales; Streptomycetaceae
Source: RNAcentral
GUUUCGGUGGUCAUAGCGUGAGGGAAACGCCCGGGUACAUUCCGAACCCGGAAGCUAAGCCUAACAGCGCCGAUGGUACUGCAUGGGGGACCCUGCGGGAGAGUCGGACGCCGCCGAACA